UGGCACGAACUGGGCCCUGAUGGAGGA
RNAcentral lists this non-coding RNA (27 nucleotides) under Homo sapiens (human). Lineage: Eukaryota; Metazoa; Chordata; Mammalia; Primates; Hominidae. The record is from RNAcentral.